RNAcentral lists this long non-coding RNA (1211 nucleotides) under Gallus gallus (chicken). The record is from RNAcentral. Lineage: Eukaryota; Metazoa; Chordata; Aves; Galliformes; Phasianidae.
GGGGAGGGCUCCGGGUCCCCCCCCUUUCCCUGAGGGGCAUUUUUGGGGGGCUUCAGAUCCCCCCCCCUCCUUGGGGGGCAUUUUUGGGUAACUGCAGCCCCCCCCUAUAGAUGGCACUGCCCCAUUCGGAGCCCCCCCCGCACCCCCACCCCCCCCGGCGCCGCUUUUCCCUUUGGGUUUUCCAGUUGUGCCUUAACCGGGGAGCAGCGCUCAGUGGGACACCAAUGGGACCCCCCGUGUGACACCGAGGGGACACCAAUGGGACCCCAAUGGGACACCGGGACCCCCAGUGUGACACCAAUGGGACCCCAGUGAGACCCCCUGUGUGACACCAAGGGGACACCAAUGGGACACCAACGGGACCCCAGUGAGACCCCCAGUGUGACACCAAUGGGACCCCAAUGGGACCCCCCGUGUGACUCCAAUGGGACACCAACGGGACACCAAUGGGACACCGGGACCGCCAGUGUGAUACCAGUGGGACCCCAGUGAGACCCCCAGUGUGACACCGAGGGGACACCGAGGGGACCCCAAUGGGACCCCAGUGUGACUCCAAGGGGACACCAAUGGUUCCCCCAGUGUGACACCGAGGAGACACCAAUGGAACACCAAGAAGACACCAAUGGGACCCCCAGUGUGACACCAGUGGGACACCAAUGGGACACCAAUGGGACACCAAUGGGACACUGGGACCCAAAGUGUGACACCGAGAGGACCCCCAGUGUGACACCAAUGGGACACCAAUGGGACAUCAAUGGGACCCCCAGUGUGACUCCAGUGGGACAUCAAUGGGACACUGAGGGGACAGUGGGACCCCCAGCACUCUGAUGUGACCCCGAGGGGACCCCCAGUGUGACACUGAGGGGACAGCGGGACCCACAGCGCCCCAAUGUGACCCUGGGGGGGCAGUGGGACCCCCCACCACUCUGAUGUGACACUGAGGGGACCCCCAGUGUGACACUGAGGGGACAGUGGGACCCCCCACCACUUCGAGGUGACCCGGAGGGGACCCCCACCACUCUGAUGUGACCCCGAGGGGACCCCCGAUGUGACACUGAGGGGACAGUGGGACCCCCAGCACUCUGAUGUGACCCCGAGUGGCCCCACACGGCUCCAUGGGACCCCACUGUGGGGCAGUGGUGGUUAUGCGGGGGGGUCGGGGGCUGCUGCCCCCCCCCACAGCCGCCCCCUGCAGAGCUGUCCCCCCCCCC